RNAcentral lists this long non-coding RNA (372 nucleotides) under Malus domestica (apple). RNAcentral's name for it is "long non-coding RNA (MDOM_LNC018982)". Lineage: Eukaryota; Viridiplantae; Streptophyta; Magnoliopsida; Rosales; Rosaceae. The record is from RNAcentral.
CUUGUGAGGUGGUGCCCAUCGAGCUUCUUAAGUCUUCGGGCUAUGAUGUAGUCGGAGGUUACACAUGGUACUUCUUCAGAUUGUAGGCGCUCCACUACUUUUUGAUCUUUUUAUCGUUUCAUGGUAGCGGGGGUAUAAUUACUCUUACCGCCUAUUCUGCUGAGCUUGUACGGACCUUCCCAGAUGAGAUCCAUAUUUUUGGAUGUUUCGGCCUGCCUAUUGCCUUGAGGAUAUCUCGGCAUAGACAUAUGCUGCUUGAUGCCAUAUUUUUUGAAGAACUUAACCAAAUCUUUGCCCACGAAUUGCAGGCCAUUGUUGGUGACGAUGGAUUAAGGGAUGCCAAAUCGGUAAAUGAUGUUCCUCCAUAUGAAG